Molecule: ribosomal RNA, 92 nt
Filed under: Fusarium pseudograminearum CS3096
Lineage: Eukaryota; Fungi; Ascomycota; Sordariomycetes; Hypocreales; Nectriaceae
Source: RNAcentral
ACGACCAAAGGUAGUGGAAAAUACGGGAUCCCGUCCGCUCUCCCAUAGUCAAGCCACUAACCGGCGGAUUAGUAGUUGGGUCGGUGACGACC